AUAUCAAUAAGCGGAGGAAAAGAAACCAACAGGGAUUGCCUCAGUAACGGCGAGUGAAGCGGCAACAGCUCAAAUUUGAAAUCUGGCCCUCUCAGGGUCCGAGUUGUAAUUUGUAGAAGAUGCUUCGGGUGUGGCUCCGGUCUAAGUUCCUUGGAACAGGACGUCAUAGAGGGUGAGAAUCCCGUAUGUGACUGGUUGCCUUCGCCCAUGUGAAGCUCUUUCGACGAGUCGAGUUGUUUGGGAAUGCAGCUCAAAAUGGGUGGUAAAUUUCAUCUAAAGCUAAAUAUUGGCCAGAGACCGAUAGCGCACAAGUAGAGUGAUCGAAAGAUGAAAAGCACUUUGGAAAGAGAGUUAAACAGUACGUGAAAUUGUUGAAAGGGAAGCGCUUGCAACCAGACUUGCGCGCUGCUGAUCAUCCAGGGUUCUCCCUGGUGCACUCAGCAGCGUUCAGGCCAGCAUCGGUUUGGGUGGUUGGAUAAAGGCCUUGGGAAUGUAGCUUCUCUCGGGGAGUGUUAUAGCCCUCGGUGCAAUGCAGCCUACCUGGACCGAGGACCGCGCUUCGGCUAGGAUGCUGGCGUAAUGGUUGUAAGCGA
Molecule: ribosomal RNA, 593 nt
Filed under: uncultured fungus
Lineage: Eukaryota; Fungi
Description: eukaryotic LSU rRNA
Rfam family: Eukaryotic large subunit ribosomal RNA
Source: RNAcentral